UAGAAGGAAGCUUGCUGGAUGGAGCGUUUAGCUGUUGACUAAGUUAUUGCGGGAUCAAGGCCCGUCUUUCUAG
This 73-nucleotide transfer RNA is filed under the name Atelopus elegans. RNAcentral's name for it is "tRNA-Asn". The record is from RNAcentral. Lineage: Eukaryota; Metazoa; Chordata; Amphibia; Anura; Bufonidae.